This 131-nucleotide ribosomal RNA is filed under the name Acidobacteriota bacterium. RNAcentral describes it as "Acidobacteria bacterium (groundwater metagenome) partial 23S ribosomal RNA". It matches the Rfam family "Bacterial large subunit ribosomal RNA", at positions 1 to 120 of the family's 2925-position model. Lineage: Bacteria; Pseudomonadati; Acidobacteriota. The record is from RNAcentral.
GUAAGUUUUAUGGUUAAGCUACUAAGAGCGUACGGUGGAUGCCUUGGCGCCAACAGGCGAUGAAGGACGUGGCAAGCUGCGAAAAGCUUCGGGGAGCCGCAAGCAGGCUUUGAUCCGGAGAUGUCCGAAUG